Molecule: ribosomal RNA, 253 nt
Filed under: uncultured bacterium
Lineage: Bacteria
Description: partial 16S ribosomal RNA
Rfam family: Bacterial small subunit ribosomal RNA
Source: RNAcentral
UACGAAGGAUUCGAGCGUUAUCCGGAUUUCUUGGGUUUAAAGGGUGCGUAGGUGGACUAAUAAGUCAGUGGUGAAAGCCCGCAGCUUAACUGCGGAACUGCCAUUGAUACUGUUAGUCUUGAGUACAGUUGAGGUGGGCGGAAUGUGUCAUGUAGCGGUGAAAUGCUUAGAUAUGACACAGAACACCGAUUGCGAAGGCAGCCCACUAAGCUGUAACUGACACUGAGGCACGAAAGCGUGGGGAGCAAACAGG